GUGCUCACUCCGGCAGCACAUAUAUUAAAAUUGGAACAAUACAGAGAAGAUCAGCAUGGCCGCUGAGCAAGGAUGACUUCACAUCAAUUAAAUAAAUAAAUAAAUAAAU
This is a small nuclear RNA of Camelus dromedarius (Arabian camel), 109 nucleotides long. NCBI's taxonomy places the organism in Eukaryota, Metazoa, Chordata, Mammalia, Artiodactyla, Camelidae. The record is from Ensembl.